GAGAGUUAAACAGUACGUGAAAUUGUUGAAAGGGAAACGAUUGAAGCCAGUCGUACCUUCGGGUAAUCAGCCUUUCGGGUGCGAUUCUGUGGAGUGUGAGGAGCUUAAACACCUUCAUGUUUUGCAUAUUCGUACUCUUGGGUGUACUUGUCCGUGUGGUUGGUUAACAUCAAUUUUGGUGGUCAUAAAAUGACUGGGGGAAUGUAGCUUCGAUCUUGUAUUGAAGUGUUAUAGCCUUCGGUAGAUGUGAUGAUCGAGAUUGAGGAUUGCAACGGAUACCCUUCGGGGCUACCUGUCUGAUCUCUGAUCGUUGCUCUGGUGCCGAAAGCUUGCUUAUGAUGUUAGGGUAUUACGGUCAAAAGGUUAGAACGGAUUAAAUUCGUUAAGGAUGUUGACGUAAUGACUUUAAACGA
RNAcentral lists this ribosomal RNA (413 nucleotides) under uncultured Rhizophagus. Its description in RNAcentral is "partial 28S ribosomal RNA". Lineage: Eukaryota; Fungi; Glomeromycota; Glomeromycetes; Glomerales; Glomeraceae. The record is from RNAcentral.